UAUAUUGCACAAUGGGCGAAAGCCUGAUCCAGCCAUGCCGCGUGUGUGAAGAAGGUCUUCGGAUUGUAAAGCACUUUCUGUUGGGAGGAAGGUCAGUAAGUUACUUCCUUGCUGUCUUGACGUUAUCGACAGAAUACGCACCCGCUCACUUCGUUCCAGCAGGCUCGGUAAUACGAAGGGUGCAAGCGUUAAUCGGAAAUACGGGGCGUAAAGCGCGCGUAGGUGGGUUGAUCAGUUAGAAGAGAAAGUCCCGGGCUGAAACUGGGAACUGCUUUCAAAACGGGCAAGCUAGAGUAUGGCAGAGGGUGGAGGAAUUUCCUGUGGAGCGGUGAAAUGCGUAGAUAUAGGAAGGAACACCAGUGGCGAAGGCGACCACCUGGGCUAAUACUGACACUGAGGUGCGAAAGCGUGGGGAGCAAAC
RNAcentral lists this ribosomal RNA (421 nucleotides) under uncultured bacterium. RNAcentral's name for it is "partial 16S ribosomal RNA". It matches the Rfam family "Bacterial small subunit ribosomal RNA", at positions 359 to 773 of the family's 1533-position model. The record is from RNAcentral.